UCCGUAGGCGGUCAGGUAAGUCAGUGGUGAAAGCCCAUCGCUCAACGGUGGAACGGCUAUUGAUACUGUCUGACUUGAAUUAUUAGGAAGUAACUAGAAUAUGUAGUGUAGCGGUGAAAUGCUUAGAGAUUACAUGGAAUACCAAUUGCGAAGGCAGGUUACUACUAAUAUAUUGACGCUGAUGGACGAAAGCGUGGGUAGCGAACA
Molecule: ribosomal RNA, 207 nt
Filed under: uncultured bacterium
Lineage: Bacteria
Description: partial 16S ribosomal RNA
Rfam family: Bacterial small subunit ribosomal RNA
Source: RNAcentral